UAGGGAAUCUUCGGCAAUGGGGGGAACCCUGACCGAGCAACGCCGCGUGAGUGAAGAAGGUUUUCGGAUCGUAAAGCUCUGUUGUUAAGGAAGAACGAGUGUGAGAAUGGAAAGUUCAUGCUGUGACGGUACUUAACCAGAAAGCCACGGCUAACUACGUGCCAGCAGCCGCGGUAAUACGUAGGUGGCAAGCGUUGUCCGGAAUUAUUGGGCGUAAAGCGCGCGCAGGUGGUUUAGAAAGUCUGAUGUGAAAGCCCACGGCUCAACCGUGGAGGGUCAUUGGAAACUAAUAAACUUGAGUGCAGGAGAGAAAAGUGGAAUUCCUAGUGUAGCGGUGAAAUGCGUAGAGAUUAGGAGGAACACCGGUGGCGAAAGCGGCCUUUUGGCCUGCAACUGACACUGAGGCGCGAAAGCGUGGGGAGCAAACAGG
This 430-nucleotide ribosomal RNA is filed under the name Verrucomicrobiota bacterium. Its description in RNAcentral is "Verrucomicrobia bacterium partial 16S ribosomal RNA". It matches the Rfam family "Bacterial small subunit ribosomal RNA", at positions 355 to 776 of the family's 1533-position model. Lineage: Bacteria; Pseudomonadati; Verrucomicrobiota. The record is from RNAcentral.